UAGGGAAUCUUCGGCAAUGGACGGAAGUCUGACCGAGCAACGCCGCGUGAGUGAAGAAGGUUUUCGGAUCGUAAAGCUCUGUUGUAAGAGAAGAACGAGUGUGAGAGUGGAAAGUUCACACUGUGACGGUAUCUUACCAGAAAGGGACGGCUAACUACGUGCCAGCAGCCGCGGUAAUACGUAGGUCCCGAGCGUUGUCCGGAUUUAUUGGGCGUAAAGCGAGCGCAGGCGGUUAGAUAAGUCUGAAGUUAAAGGCUGUGGCUUAACCAUAGUAGGCUUUGGAAACUGUUUAACUUGAGUGCAAGAGGGGAGAGUGGAAUUCCAUGUGUAGCGGUGAAAUGCGUAGAUAUAUGGAGGAACACCGGUGGCGAAAGCGGCUCUCUGGCUUGUAACUGACGCUGAGGCUCGAAAGCGUGGGGAGCAAACAGGAUUAGAUACCCUGGUAGUCCACGCUGUAAACGAUGAGCGCUAGGUGUUAGACCCUUUCCGGGGUUUAGUGCCGUAGCUAACGCAUUAAGCACUCCGCCUGGGGAGUACGACCGCAAGGUUG
RNAcentral lists this ribosomal RNA (550 nucleotides) under uncultured bacterium. Its description in RNAcentral is "bacterial SSU rRNA". It matches the Rfam family "Bacterial small subunit ribosomal RNA", at positions 355 to 896 of the family's 1533-position model. The record is from RNAcentral.